UUUGAUCGAUCCCAACCACAGCGGGUGCUCCGGCCCACGCGCGGCACCGUAGGUGGCGAUCAGGGCGCCGGCCUC
This 75-nucleotide antisense RNA is filed under the name Mycobacterium pseudokansasii. Its description in RNAcentral is "ASpks TB sRNA". It matches the Rfam family "ASpks TB sRNA". The record is from Rfam by way of RNAcentral. Lineage: Bacteria; Bacillati; Actinomycetota; Actinomycetes; Mycobacteriales; Mycobacteriaceae.